CUGGCACACAGAAAGUCUCCAACAAGCCUCUGUGUAUCUCUCACAAUAAUAGUUUACAAGAAGAGGCAGAGGAUGUUGACACAAACUUACAGACUGGGACUCCAAGGAUCAGCCAGAUGAAAUGCUAUGUGCAGAGUCUUCAUUUCCCAGCUCAGUGGUGGACAGCAGAGGACUCUAAGAAUCACCUCAUAAAUGAACUACCUUGACAUGCCCUGACCCAGGCUCUUUAUUUGGAAACCCAGGCUAGGACAGGAAUGAAGAGAAGCCAGACCUUCUGACUCGAAGAUCCAGCCACCUCUUGGGAUGCACACGUUUCUCUUCAACUGCGUGAUGUGAACUGCGUCACAUGUGAAUUAUCAACAGAAACUACCUAGAGAAACCUGUAACUUCAGAUCUUCUGAUUAAUUGAUUUUCUUUGGGUGCUGCUUGACAGUAACAGAAUGGUCCAUGGGGACAGUUUUUCAGUGAAUGUUUUCAACAAUGAUAGGAACACAGAGCUAAGCAGAGUGUCAAGAGACAUUUAGUGCAGUAGAGACAUCUCAUCUGUUUUUCUGCAGAACUUGCAUAAAAUUAGCAUCUGAUUAUUAUCACCUCAGAAUGAACCGGAACCCGUAAAGAUGUCUUUGAUCGUAAAAGUGGGGAGGAGACCCUGAUGGAAGAAGAGAAGACUUCAGCCUCACAAUAGAAAAGACUGUGUUUAUGCACCUAAAUCUAACUUAGACACCAUCUAAUUCAAGAAACAGGCACAUUUAGGGAAAUAAAGAAAAGAGGCAGAAAGAGAUGAAGCACCUUGGCUGAAUCAGAGAAAUUAGGGGUUAAUGUUCCAGACUGAUGACUUGAAGGAGGGUGUGCAUUUUCAUGCAAGGGACCAUUCUGUAGAAGAAGCAGCACAUUCACCCUUAAAUGAGCAAAGAGAAUCCCAAUCACUCUCCCUCUCACCCUCCCCUUUUCCUUCAUUUCUCUAGCUCUUUAUUUCCAAGAAGGCCAGCCCUUCUCUUCAGCCACAUGGUAUUUGGACAGCCUAGGCUCAAUCCCUGCAGGGAAAGCUCAAUCAGCCAGCUGAGCCAGUCACUGAACAACCAAGUCUGGUAAGAACAGGGGUGAAGUAUUUAAGAAGCCUAUCGUGGCUGGAGGGCUAAAGCCUUGUUCUCAAAUCAGCUUUAUAGGUAAUAAAACUGACAUUAAAGCAAAAACAAAUAAGAGUAA
This 1206-nucleotide long non-coding RNA is filed under the name Homo sapiens (human). RNAcentral's name for it is "HSALNT0349796". The record is from RNAcentral. Lineage: Eukaryota; Metazoa; Chordata; Mammalia; Primates; Hominidae.